This 263-nucleotide ribosomal RNA is filed under the name uncultured bacterium. Its description in RNAcentral is "partial 16S ribosomal RNA". It matches the Rfam family "Bacterial small subunit ribosomal RNA", at positions 96 to 353 of the family's 1533-position model. The record is from RNAcentral.
UGGCGAACGGGUGAGUAACGCGUGAGGAACCUGCCUCAAAGAGGGGGACAACAGUUGGAAACGACUGCUAAUACCGCAUAAGCCCACGGGUCGGCAUCGACCAGAGGGAAAAGGAGCAAUCCGCUUUGAGAUGGCCUCGCGUCCGAUUAGCUAGUUGGUGAGGUAAUGGCCCACCCAAGGCAACGAUCGGUAGCCGGACCUGAGAGGUUGAACGGCCACAUUGGGACUGAGACACGGCCCAGACUCCUACGGGAGGCAGCAUG